Molecule: long non-coding RNA, 553 nt
Filed under: Pandoravirus dulcis
Description: putative ncRNA
Source: RNAcentral
GGCGACGGCGCCUCGACGCUGUCGUCAUCUCUUUUUCCCGCGGUGCACUCGCGUUCCUCGUCGCUGGCGCUCGGUAUCGGCGUAAGCGACAGCGGCAGAGGCGCACUCUCAUCGCUCGGCAACCGGUGACGGAGCGCCACAAAGUGCAGGUGCAGCCGGUGGAGUGCCGAAUAGAUUGCUGGCGCAUUGCGCUUGACUUUGGCGCCGCCGGCCGCGUGCAACGCCCUCAAUUGCUCGAUCGCUUGGCGUUGCUCGCUACCCGCGAGCAUUUGUCCCGAUACCGGGACCAUGUGUGCCGCAGUCGUCGUGGUAGGCAAUGCGUCGCAUCGAUCGUGACUCGGCGCAGCGCAAUCAACUGGUGUUGUUGCGGCCAUCGAGCGCCGUCGCGGCCGAUAAUUCCGUUCGGGUGGGCCGCGCGCUCGGCCUCGGCUCCUCUUCGGUGCUUCAGCGAGCGAGGACAAGCCAGCGAGAGUAGGAUCUCUCGGGGCACAGGAGAACAGGCAGAUAAAUCGAUGGGCUGCGCAGCAGGAAGAAGAAGAAAAAAGUCCCUCCC